CCCGAGAUGAGUUCUCCCUGACUCCUUGAGAGUCCUGAAGGAACGUUGAAGACGACGACGUUGAUAGGCCGGGUGUGUAAGCGCAGCGAUGCGUUGAGUUAACCGGUACUAAUGAACCGUGAGGCUUAACCUU
Molecule: ribosomal RNA, 133 nt
Filed under: Escherichia coli
Lineage: Bacteria; Pseudomonadati; Pseudomonadota; Gammaproteobacteria; Enterobacterales; Enterobacteriaceae
Description: partial 23S ribosomal RNA
Rfam family: Bacterial large subunit ribosomal RNA
Source: RNAcentral